CGAUAGGUCAUAAUAUCUGGAAUGAUUUAUGGUUUAAAUCUAUAUGGCCUCUGGAUUGGACUGCGGCCGAUCAGGCUGUUGGUGAGGUAAUGGCCCACCAAACCUGAAACCGGUACGGGCUCUGAGAGGAGAAGCCCGGAGAUGGGCACUGAGGCAAGGGCCCAGGCCCUAUGGGGCGCAGCAGGCGCGAAAACUCUGCAAUAAGCGAAAGCUUGACAGGGUUAUUCUGAGUGAUUUCCGCUAAGGAAAUCUUUUGGCACCUCUAAAAAUGGUGCAGAAUAAGGGGUGGGCAAGCCUGGUGUCAGCCGCCGCGGUAAUACCAGCACCCCGAGUGGUCGGGACGAUUAUUGGGCCUAAAGCAUCCGUAGCCGGUUCUACAAGUCUUCCGUUAAAUCCACCUGCUUAACAGAUGGGCUGCGGAGGAUACUAUAGAGCUAGGAGGCGGGAGAGGCAAGCGGUACUUAGUGGGUAGGGGUAAAAUCCGUUGAUCCAUUGAAGACCACCAGUGGCGAAGGCGGCUUGCCAGAACGCACUCGACGGUGAGGGAUGAAAGCUGGGGGAGCAAACCGGAUUAGAUACCCGGGUAGUCCCAGCUGUAAACGAUGCAGACUCGGUGAUGAAUAGGCUUCGUGCCUAUUCAGUGCCGCAGGGAAGCCGUUAAGUCUGCCGCCUGGGGAGUACGGUCGCAAGACUGAAACUUAAAGG
Molecule: ribosomal RNA, 705 nt
Filed under: uncultured archaeon
Lineage: Archaea
Description: bacterial SSU rRNA
Rfam family: Archaeal small subunit ribosomal RNA
Source: RNAcentral